This 253-nucleotide ribosomal RNA is filed under the name uncultured bacterium. RNAcentral describes it as "partial 16S ribosomal RNA". It matches the Rfam family "Bacterial small subunit ribosomal RNA", at positions 524 to 776 of the family's 1533-position model. The record is from RNAcentral.
UACGUUGGGGGCAAGCGUUAUCCGGAAUUACUGGGUGUAAAGGGUGCGUAGGCGGCAUGGUAAGCCAGAUGUGAAAGCCUUGGGCUUAACCCGAGGAUUGCAUUUGGAACUAUCAAGCUAGAGUACAGGAGAGGAAAGCGGAAUUCCUAGUGUAGCGGUGAAAUGCGUAGAUAUUAGGAAGAACACCAGUGGCGAAGGCGGCUUUCUGGACUGAAACUGACGCUGAGGCACGAAAGCGUGGGGAGCGAACAGG